UUGAUGAAUUGAUGAGAUUCCCGCCGUGUCCCAUUUGACAUAUCUGUCUGCCAUGUUACUUCAUCUGGCCUGUGACUCUUCUAAGAAGGUUCAUUAACUGAUGAUUAAGGUCCCCUGCCAACUGGAUGGUGCCAUCCACAUUGAAGGCAAAUCUUCCCUCACUCGGAAGGAAUCAGUCCACUCAGACUCAUUCCACUCAGCCUCACAAGCCAAUCUCCUCUGGAAACACCAUCACAGUACUAUUCUACACACCGAUACAGAACUAAUCAAGAGUACUAUGGAAGAGAGGGACUGUUGCAGCCUAGACUUUGAAGAUCAAGCCAUAAAAAGUACUGUAUCCUCCAUUUGCCAUUUAUUAUCUUUUGCUUUGGGAAAAACUGUCUUCCAUGUGUUGAGCUCAUUCAUUCAGCCCCAUGGAAAGGCCAACAUGGAGAGGGACUUCUACCAGUAGCCAGCACCAACUUUGCAGCCAUAUGUGUUUGCCACCUUGAAAGUGCAUCUCUCAGCCUUCAGUCAAGUCUCUAGAUGACUGCAACCUCACAAGAGCCUCUAAGUCACAACUGCUCAGCCAAGCCAUACCUGAAAUUGUUCACUCAGAAUAAUGGAGUCUGUCUUUGUGCAUCAAUCUGAAGCUGAUUUUGGCAGCGAGCAUCUGUUUCCCAGGUGAAGCCGAGUCUGCAAAGGAGAAUGAUAAGCAGUCAGAGAAUAAAAACCAGAACAGUGGAGCAUCAUGGAAGUCAAGGAAAAGAGUGUUUUAGUAACACUGUCAGAGUUCCUGAAAGACCAAGUAACAUAAGGAGUUGAGAGUUCAGAAAAGUCUAGAAAGUACCAGCUAGUGCUGAGUGAUGCAGAAAAUGUGCUCAGAGACGCAAUAUUU
Molecule: non-coding RNA, 877 nt
Organism: Microcebus murinus (gray mouse lemur)
Lineage: Eukaryota; Metazoa; Chordata; Mammalia; Primates; Cheirogaleidae
Source: RefSeq, a predicted model, not a curated record